Molecule: ribosomal RNA, 253 nt
Filed under: uncultured bacterium
Lineage: Bacteria
Description: partial 16S ribosomal RNA
Rfam family: Bacterial small subunit ribosomal RNA
Source: RNAcentral
GACGUAGGGGGCCAGCGUUGUUCGGAAUUACUGGGUGUAAAGGGUUCGUAGGCGGUGCGGCAAGUUGGGAGUGAAAUCUCUGGGCUUAACCCAGAGGCUGCUUCCAAAACUGCUGUGCUUGAGUGUGGGAGAGGCGCGUGGGAUUGCAGGUGUAGCGGUGAAAUGCGUAGAUAUCUGCAGGAACACCCGUGGCGAAAGCGGCGCGCUGGACCACUACUGACGCUGAGGAACGAAAGCUAGGGGAGCAAACAGG